CGCACCGCCCUGUGAACGCUACGGCGUCGGUUUUACCGCAGCCUUGCCGCAUUGUACCCUCGGCGUGACUUCAUCAUUGGCCGUGCGUUUUACGUCGCUGUUCGAUUCGGUGCCGGUGAGUGAGUGCGUGCCCGCGCGUUCACGUGCGUGUCUGUGCGAGUGGUGACGCUGCUAAGGGUUAACACUGUUAGGUGUUAACGUGAGUGAGUGUGAACACUGUCAGGUGUUAACGUGAGUGAGUGUGAACCCUGUCAGGUGUUAACGUGAGUGAGUGUGAACCCUGUUAGGUGUUAACGUGAGUGUGAACACUGUCAGGUGUUAACGUGAGUGAGCGUGAACACUGUCAGGUGUUAACGUGAGUGAGUGUGAACACUGUCAGGUGUUAACGUGAGUGAGCGUGAACCCUGUCAGGUGUUAACGUGAGUGAGCGUGAACACUGUCAGGUGUUAACGUGAGCGUGAACACUGUCAGGUGUUAACGUGAGUGAGUGUGAACCCUGUCAGGUGUUAACGUGAGUGAGUGUGAACCCUGUCAGGUGUUAACGUGAGUGAGUGUGAACACUGUCAGGUGUUAACGUGAGUGAGUGUGAACACUGUCAGGUGUUAACGUGAGUGAGUGUGAACCCUGUCAGGUGUUAACGUGAGUGAGCGUGAACACUGUCAGGUGUUAACGUGAGCGUGAACCCUGUCAGGUGUUAACGUGAGUGAGCGUGAACACUGUCAGGUGUUAACGUGAGUGAGUGUGAACACUGUUAGGUGUUAACGUGAGUGUGAACCCUGUCAGGUGUUAACGUGAGUGAGUGUGAACACUGUCAGGUGUUAACGUGAGUGUGAACCAUGUCAGGUGUUAACGUGAGUG
Non-coding RNA from Petromyzon marinus (sea lamprey), 858 nucleotides. NCBI's taxonomy places the organism in Eukaryota, Metazoa, Chordata, Hyperoartia, Petromyzontiformes, Petromyzontidae. The record is from RefSeq and is a predicted model, not a curated record.